ACUCUUCCUACAUUUGUGUGUAAGUUUUAUUAACAUUUGUUUUCUUCUUUUUAGGUUAAAACUUACGCUUGAUCGAUCCGGUACAAAGCUGUACCAAGUGACGGUGCGAUUCUAGUGGAGAUCCAGGUGCGUAACUACAGUUUUAGCAGCAGAAAUCAAGUUAGCGUCUAGCUACGGUAGCAACGAUUGGACGAUUGCUUGAUAUAUCCUAGGUUAAAACUUACGCUUGAUCGAUCCGGUACAAAGCUGUACCAAGUGACGGUGCGAUUCUAGUGGAGAUCCAGGUGCGUAACUACAGUUUUAGCAGCAGAAAUCAAGUUAGCGUCUAGCUACGGUAGCAACGAUUGGACGAUUGCUUGAUAUAUCCUAGGUGUGUAAAUUGGAGUUUUCAAUAAAUUCAAACUACUUUCACAACGAAAUAUACUUUUUUUCGCGC
Molecule: long non-coding RNA, 436 nt
Organism: Culex pipiens pallens (northern house mosquito)
Lineage: Eukaryota; Metazoa; Arthropoda; Insecta; Diptera; Culicidae
Exons: 5
Source: RefSeq, a predicted model, not a curated record